GACGGGGGCUGCAAGCGUUAUCCGGAAUCACUGGGCGUAAAGCGUCUGUAGGUGGUGAUGCAAGUCACUGGUGCAAAACUCUGGCUCAACCGGAGGAAAGCCAGUGAAACUGCAUGACUAGAGUGUGGGAGAGGUAGAAGGAAUUCCCUGAGUAGCGGUGAAAUGCGUAGAUACAGGGUAGAACACCGGAGGCAAAAGCGUUCUACUGGAACACAACUGACACUGAGAGACGAAAGCUAGGGGAGCGAAUGGG
Molecule: ribosomal RNA, 253 nt
Filed under: uncultured bacterium
Lineage: Bacteria
Description: partial 16S ribosomal RNA
Rfam family: Bacterial small subunit ribosomal RNA
Source: RNAcentral